Molecule: long non-coding RNA, 516 nt
Filed under: Rhinopithecus bieti (black snub-nosed monkey)
Lineage: Eukaryota; Metazoa; Chordata; Mammalia; Primates; Cercopithecidae
Description: lncRNA (ENSRBIG00000045161.1)
Source: RNAcentral
UGGGAGGGGUAACUGGGGACUCGAGCUCAGUGAUGACGCGACUCUCACGUGACCAGGAGUCGACGUGUGCAGAAGUCCUUAUAGUCCAGGGCCUGUUUCCCUGUAGCAGCUCCCUAUUGCUGGAGAAGGAGAAAAGUGCCCAAGAUCCUUUCAGGAUAUUUGGUUUUUUGGGCGCGACACAAAUCGAGGUGAGGGAAGAGAGAGGAAAAUCCCCUGAAUCCCUGCAGGAUUAAUUUAUUCAAAAGGACAAUUAAAAAUACUUUCAAUAUUGCAAAAGUCUUGAAGAAAAUGAGGGAAAAAUCCACAGAACUGCAAAGGCCGAGGAAGAUCGCACCUUUGGAGGAUUGUACCACAGGAGGCAGAAGGAAUCCUCAACUUCUUGAAGUGAAUGGUAUUAAGCCAGAGCAGAAGGAAACCCCAGAGGAGAGCCGAAUCAGCCGGCCAGGGAUUUAAAGAGACACACCUGUUAGGCAUUUGAUACCCGGGAGAGAACGAUGAUAGAGGGUAGAUGAGCGU